AUGCUUAAAAUUGAUCUUGCGAAGGCUUUUGAUCAUUUAGAAUGGAGCUUCACAGUUUUAGCUCUUGCUCAUAAAUGACUGCAUGAUCUUUUCAUAAAUUUGAUCUAUGACUGCAUUUCCUCGUCCACUUUCUCUGUGGUAAUUAAUGGUCAACCUUCUCAAAAAUUUGAAAGUGCUAGGGGUAUUCAUCAAGGUUCUCCUAUGUCCCCUUAUUUGUUUAUUUUGGCCAUUAAUGAAUUGUUUGGUGCCCUUAAUGAUGCUCUUUCCUUUAAUCAUUUGUAGGGUAUUUCUCUUGGACCAAAUUUCCCUCCUAUUCAUUCUCUCUUGUUUGCAGAUGAUUUGUUAUUUUGUGGGCGAGAUUUGGUUCAUGAGGCAAAUGUUAUGGCCCAAAUUUUCCAUCAGUUCUACUCUAUUUCAGGACAAACUCCUAACUGGGCAAAAUCAGCAAUUAUUUUCAGCUCUCAUGUUAGUCAGGUUGUAGCUCAAGAUAUUAAGCAAAUUUUUCUUGUUUCUAACAUGGAUGCUCAUUUUUCUCAUCUAGGUCACCCUCUUAUUCUUCCUGAUAAGAAUAGAUUUGCUGCCUAUAAUUUUGGUGUAGAUAAAUUUCUGAACAAGCUGCCAACUUACAAGGCUAACAUGCUUUCUCAUGCAGCUAGACUUGAGUUGAAAAUCCAUUUCUCUACUAUUCCUGUUUACUAUAUGGCUAACAUUUUGUUCUCUAAGAAUUUUAAGCCAAACUCACUGUUAUUAUUAGGAACUUUUGGUCGACAUGUAUUAGAGAAAAUGAUUCCAACAGGGGUUUGUGUCUUCGGGCUUGGAAGGAUAUUUGCAAUUCAAAGCAAGAAGGUGGGCUUGGUAUUAGGAAUUUGCAAGAGGUUAAUGAAGGGCUGA
This 891-nucleotide ribosomal RNA is filed under the name Triticum aestivum (bread wheat). Its description in RNAcentral is "partial small subunit ribosomal RNA". The record is from RNAcentral. Lineage: Eukaryota; Viridiplantae; Streptophyta; Magnoliopsida; Poales; Poaceae.